GAUGAACGCUAGCGACAGGCCUAACACAUGCAAGUCGAGGGGCAUCGGGGUGUAGCAAUACGCUGCCGGCGACCGGCGGAUGGGUGAGUAACGCGUAUGCAACCUGCCUUCAGCAGGGGGAUAGCCCGUUGAAAGACGGAUUAAUACCCCGUAACACAGGGGCUCCGCAUGGAGAUUAUUGUUAAAGGGAUGCUUCCUUCGGGGAGUAUUCCGGCUGAAGAUGGGCAUGCGUUCCAUUAGGUAGUUGGUUGAGGUAACGGCUCACCAAGCCUGCGAUGGAUAGGGGAACUGAGAGGUUGGUCCCCCACACUGGUACUGAGACACGGACCAGACGUCCUACGGGAGGCAGCAGUGAGGAAUCUUGGUCAAUGGACGGAAGUCUGAACCAGCCAUGUCGCGUGAAGGAGGACGGCCCUAAGGGUUGUAAACUUCUUUUGACAGGGGAAUAAAGGUAUUCCACGAGAUGGGAUAUUGCAGUACGCUGCGAAUAAGGAUCGGCUAACUCCGU
Molecule: ribosomal RNA, 508 nt
Filed under: uncultured bacterium
Lineage: Bacteria
Description: bacterial SSU rRNA
Rfam family: Bacterial small subunit ribosomal RNA
Source: RNAcentral